UGCAAUAUGUUUAAUGCCAGGCACCACCCUCUUUUUUCCCCAUUUACACUUAUCAGACUGGAACUAUACCAUUGCAAAGUAUUCAUGGGCCUAUAUGACAUUUUCGUAUUACAAGUUUUAUUUAUUUAACUAUUAAAAUGUGCAAAUGAGGCAAAACUUUUUACAUUUUCAUAUUACCAUAUGUUUUUCAACACAUUAUUUCAAGGCAGAAUUGUUUUUAUUUUCUACUGUGUUAAGACACCCAAUGGUCAGACAUGUACCCCAGACAGCAGCUGACUCCGCGGCGGAUCCACCGUUGUUAUGAAACAAGAAUGACUCAUCUUUCAGUAAACAACAUCACUUCUACAAAGGAUAUAGACAUGUAUGGACUGGCGAACAAUAUGCUCUCAAAAUUAAGCUUUUAAUUAAAUGACGUAUGAUUCACCAAAGUUUUUAAAAAUAGCUUUUGAAUGUCUACAUAAAACAUGCUGACAAUAACAACAUUUAUUCAAAGGGUAGUUGUGGGAGUUGGAAUAAAAUGUUAUAAAUCA
Molecule: long non-coding RNA, 530 nt
Organism: Esox lucius (northern pike)
Lineage: Eukaryota; Metazoa; Chordata; Actinopteri; Esociformes; Esocidae
Exons: 2
Source: RefSeq, a predicted model, not a curated record